GACGAGCCACACAAACGUUAUUCGGAAUCACUGGGCUUAAAGGGUGCGUAGGCGGCGCGGAAAGUGGGGUGUGAAAGCCCUCGGCUCAACCGAGGAAUCGCGCUCCAAACUACCGUGCUUGAGUGAGACAGAGGUAAGCGGAACUUCGGGUGGAACGGUGAAAUGUGUUGAUAUCCGAAGGAACACCGGUGGCGAAAGCGGCUUACUGGGUCUCAACUGACGCUGAUGCACGAAAGCCAGGGUAGCAAACGGG
Molecule: ribosomal RNA, 253 nt
Filed under: uncultured bacterium
Lineage: Bacteria
Description: partial 16S ribosomal RNA
Rfam family: Bacterial small subunit ribosomal RNA
Source: RNAcentral